This 474-nucleotide ribosomal RNA is filed under the name uncultured organism. Its description in RNAcentral is "partial 16S ribosomal RNA". It matches the Rfam family "Bacterial small subunit ribosomal RNA", at positions 330 to 796 of the family's 1533-position model. The record is from RNAcentral.
CGUACACUCCUGCGGGAGGCAGCAGUGGGGAAUUUUGGACAAUGGGCGAAAGCCUGAUCCAGCCAUGCCGCGUGCAGGAUGAAGGCCUUCGGGUUGUAAACUGCUUUUGUACGGAACGAAACGGCCUUUUCUAAUAAAGAGGGCUAAUGACGGUACCGUAAGAAUAAGCACCGGCUAACUACGUGCCAGCAGCCGCGGUAAUACGUAGGGUGCAAGCGUUAAUCGGAAUUACUGGGCGUAAAGCGUGCGCAGGCGGUUAUGUAAGACAGUUGUGAAAUCCCCGGGCUCAACCUGGGAACUGCAUCUGUGACUGCAUAGCUAGAGGACGGUAGAGGGGGAUGGAAUUCCGCGUGUAGCAGUGAAAUGCGUAGAUAUGCGGAGGAACACCGAUGGCGAAGGCAAUCCCCUGGACCUGUACUGACGCUCAUGCACGAAAGCGUGGGGAGCAAACAGGAUUAGAUACCCUUGUAGUCC